RNAcentral lists this long non-coding RNA (1119 nucleotides) under Olea europaea subsp. europaea. The record is from RNAcentral. Lineage: Eukaryota; Viridiplantae; Streptophyta; Magnoliopsida; Lamiales; Oleaceae.
CGCGUUCAUGGGCUUCCCUAUUUGGGCCUUUAUCCUGCAUUGCCUGAUUAGGCUGUUCUUUGGACUAUCUGAUUUGGGGAUCCUACAAUUGGACUUCAUUCCUUGGACUAUUCGAUUUGGACUGAACUUUUGUGUGUCAACAGAAAUCAUUAAACAUUAUCAAUGAACAUCUAGUGGGAACAAAUACUUACAAUGCUACGAUCAGAUCUAUUUUGAAAACUUGGUUUUUAAUAAAGUCAAAUCGAGAAAAGUCACUGAGUUGGAACAAAAGGAAGUAGCCUGACUAACCCCUCGAUCGCUAUGUAAUAAACUACUUGGUUUCUGCCUUCUUCACAUCCUUCCUCUCAUUCAUGAUGGAUUUCUCCAACUUUACUAUGCUUCUGUUUGUUAUGUUGGUACUUAUUGCCGCUUGUGUUUGAUUUACAAUUUGUAGCCUCUUUAAGCAUAAUUACUGACAAGGAAGCCUUGAUCUCAUUCAAGUCUCAAUUAGCUCAGAGUCCUGGAUUUGAUGCAAAAUCAGAUUUCUGGACAAAUUCCCGAAGAGAUCAGUUAACUUAAACAGAACCAAGUUUAGAAUUCGGCAAAAUCAGAGUCUUGUACACACAAACACGAUGAAUAGGGUACUCAAUGCGAAUCCAAUCACUGUCAUCCCUAAAUUUAUCUGUGAAGUCAUCAUUGUUUUCUCUCUAGAUGCUGACACUAUAUUAAAAUUGAAAGUCAAUUCAAUAUUUUCCAUACACUUCAAUGUCUCACACAGAUAUCUCAGAAAAAAAUCAAACACUCUUCAUAAAAACCUCUUCUUGAUUCUGAUUUCGGUAUUUAGCGUCCACGUUUUUAUUUAAAUUAGAUUAUUACCAAUAAAAACCAGCAAAAUCAAGAAAAUGUAAAACCAAGAACAUGAUGCCCUAAAAUACAAAAAUAAAAAUGGGUUUCCAAGCAAUUUUGACUUUUGAGGAACGUACGUGCUCGCCAAAUUGUAGGACCUCGUCGGAGUGGAGAAUGUUGCUGGAUGGAGGACGUCGUCAUGUAGACUUCUUGGAGAAGGCGUCAAGUGAAGUGUGAGAGGAAUUGUGAGAAGAGAGCAAAUUUCUUUUGUUUUAAUAUGAAUUUUAUUUUAGU